RNAcentral lists this non-coding RNA (30 nucleotides) under Homo sapiens (human). The record is from RNAcentral. Lineage: Eukaryota; Metazoa; Chordata; Mammalia; Primates; Hominidae.
UCAUCUGAUAGAGGCAGAGGUGGCCUUAAA